This 433-nucleotide ribosomal RNA is filed under the name uncultured bacterium. Its description in RNAcentral is "partial 16S ribosomal RNA". It matches the Rfam family "Bacterial small subunit ribosomal RNA", at positions 29 to 507 of the family's 1533-position model. The record is from RNAcentral.
AACGAACGCUGGCGGCAUGCCUAACACAUGCAAGUCGAACGAGACCUUCGGGUCUAGUGGCGCACGGGUGCGUAACGCGUGGGAACCUGCCCUUAGGUUCGGAAUAACUCCCCGAAAGGGGUGCUAAUACCGGAUAAUGUCUUCGGACCAAAGAUUUAUCGCCUUUGGCUGGGCCCGCGUUGGAUUAGCUAGUUGGUAGGGUAAAAGCAUACCAAGGCGACGAUCCAUAGCUGGUCUGAGAGGAUGAUAAGCCACACUGGGACUGCGACACGGCCCAGACUCCUACGGGAGGCAGCAGUGGGGAAUAUUGGACAAUGGGCGAAAGCGUGAUCCAGCAAUGCCGCGUGAGUGAUGAAGGCCUUAGGGUUGUAAAGCUCUUUUACCCGGGAUGAUAAUGACAGUACCGGGAGAAUAAGCUCCGGCUAACUCCGUG